UGGGGAAUAUUGCACAAUGGGCGCAAGCCUGAUGCAGCAACGCCGCGUGAGGGACGACGGCCUUCGGGUUGUAAACCUCUUUUAGCAGGGAAGAAGCGAAAGUGACGGUACCUGCAGAAAAAGCGCCGGCUAACUACGUGCCAGCAGCCGCGGUAAUACGUAGGGCGCAAGCGUUAUCCGGAAUUAUUGGGCGUAAAGAGCUCGUAGGCGGUUUGUCGCGUCUGCUGUGAAAUCCGGAGGCUCAACCUCCGGCCUGCAGUGGGUACGGGCAGACUAGAGUGCGGUAGGGGAGAUUGGAAUUCCUGGUGUAGCGGUGGAAUGCGCAGAUAUCAGGAGGAACACCGAUGGCGAAGGCAGAUCUCUGGGCCGUAACUGACGCUGAGGAGCGAAAGGGUGGGGAGCAAACAGG
Molecule: ribosomal RNA, 409 nt
Filed under: Bacillota bacterium
Lineage: Bacteria; Bacillati; Bacillota
Also listed under: 2 other names
Description: Firmicutes bacterium partial 16S ribosomal RNA
Rfam family: Bacterial small subunit ribosomal RNA
Source: RNAcentral